GACGAACGCUGGCGGCGUGCUUAACACAUGCAAGUCGUACGGUAAGGCCCUUUCGGGGGUACACGAGUGGCGCACGGGUGCGUAACACGUGAGUAACCUGCCCACAACUUUGGGAUAACGCUAGGAAACUGGUGCUAAUACUGGAUAUGUGCCCCUGCUGCAUGGUGGGGGUUGGAAAGCUCCGGCGGUUGUGGAUGGACUCGCGGCCUAUCAGCUUGUUGGUGGGGUAGUGGCCUACCAAGGCGGCGACGGGUAGCCGGCCUGAGAGGGUGACCGGCCACAUUGGGACUGAGAGACGGCCCAGACGGCUACGGGAGGCAGAAGGGGGGAAGAUUGAACAAGGGGCGCAAGCCUGAUGCAGCAACGCCGCGGGCGGGAUGACGGCCUUCGGGUUGUAAACCGCUUUCAGCAGGGACGAAGCUUUUUGUGACGGUACCUGCAGAAGAAGCACCGGCUAACUACGUG
Molecule: ribosomal RNA, 465 nt
Filed under: uncultured bacterium
Lineage: Bacteria
Description: partial 16S ribosomal RNA
Rfam family: Bacterial small subunit ribosomal RNA
Source: RNAcentral